Daphnia carinata is the source of this 997-nucleotide long non-coding RNA. RefSeq lists it as uncharacterized. The transcript is spliced from 3 exons. NCBI's taxonomy places the organism in Eukaryota, Metazoa, Arthropoda, Branchiopoda, Diplostraca, Daphniidae. The record is from RefSeq and is a predicted model, not a curated record.
GUAGACGCUUUUGACGAAUGUGAGAUUUGCUAAAGAACGCAAACAUUUACAGCGAGCUUUUCAGAAAAUCCUAGUGGUUGUCAGCCUCUUGAUAGAGGAAGGGAAGCAUGGCCUACAACAAAAUGGAAGAUGGAUAUACGCUGGAAUCUUGGAAUUUUUGGAAAAUUUGUCAAGAUUAUGUGGACGAAAUCUAUAGUGGAUGUUUCAAAAGAAGGAUGAAAAAGCACUCCGUUUAAUACUGCAUCAAUAACAUAUCAUUCAUUCACUGAACUUUGUUAUUGAACGAAAUAUUUUCAAUGACACCCAAAGUUGAUGAAAUUACUUAGCAACCCAGUAUUGUGUAAAGAAAGGCAACAGCGGAAGUUCCAAGAGAAAGUGUGUAGUGUAACCUACAUUUUUGGUGGCAAGCAUGGGAAAGUAUCUGUGAUUGUUGUGUUUUUUUUGUUUUUUUUUGUAUAAAGCUAAUAUAUUCCUGCUUUUUUCAAAGGCCCUUCUUUACUCUCACGGAUAAUAGGUGCUCAUUCAGUUUAUCUUGCUGCUGACGCAAAAGUAUUUCAGUGUUCAACAGAUGGCAGCAUUGAAGAUAAUUUGUUUUGAAGGCCGUGAAGUAGUUUCUCGGGGCGUUAUGUAUCCUGGCCUUGGGCCUACCUCGAAGGUCCAGGCCCACACAACCCUUCAUCAGUCGUAACAUUCUCUCCUAAGCACAUUAUAAGAUAUCUCCAGUUGAAAUUGCGUAGCCACCAUUUCUUCCGCUACAAGUUGACCAUAACAUUAAAUCUAGCAGCUUGCAAAUAAUCUACAACUUAUUACAGAUCGAACACCUUAGUUCCCGUACGAACACGUUUCAUCCGUAUUGUUUGCAGUUGGAAUCCUGGAAUAAGAACAUAGUAUUGAACCAUUUGCAAGUUUUCUUCGCCAGAUGGCGUUACGUGUUACCUAAUCUGGCUAACUAUGAACCGUCCAAGUCCAUAAUUUAGUAACACCAAAUGGUCGGAGU